RNAcentral lists this ribosomal RNA (646 nucleotides) under Escherichia sp. E4702. RNAcentral describes it as "partial 23S ribosomal RNA". It matches the Rfam family "Bacterial large subunit ribosomal RNA", at positions 950 to 1598 of the family's 2925-position model. The record is from RNAcentral. Lineage: Bacteria; Pseudomonadati; Pseudomonadota; Gammaproteobacteria; Enterobacterales; Enterobacteriaceae.
CAAACUGCGAAUACCGGAGAAUGUUAUCACGGGAGACACACGGCGGGUGCUAACGUCCGUCGUGAAGAGGGAAACAACCCAGACCGCCAGCUAAGGUCCCAAAGUCAUGGUUAAGUGGGAAACGAUGUGGGAAGGCCCAGACAGCCAGGAUGUUGGCUUAGAAGCAGCCAUCAUUUAAAGAAAGCGUAAUAGCUCACUGGUCGAGUCGGCCUGCGCGGAAGAUGUAACGGGGCUAAACCAUGCACCGAAGCUGCGGCAGCGACACUGUGUGUUGUUGGGUAGGGGAGCGUUCUGUAAGCCUGCGAAGGUGUGCUGUGAGGCAUGCUGGAGGUAUCAGAAGUGCGAAUGCUGACAUAAGUAACGAUAAAGCGGGUGAAAAGCCCGCUCGCCGGAAGACCAAGGGUUCCUGUCCAACGUUAAUCGGGGCAGGGUGAGUCGACCCCUAAGGCGAGGCCGAAAGGCGUAGUCGAUGGGAAACAGGUUAAUAUUCCUGUACUUGGUGUUACUGCGAAGGGGGGACGGAGAAGGCUAUGUUGGCCGGGCGACGGUUGUCCCGGUUUAAGCGUGUAGGCUGGUUUUCCAGGCAAAUCCGGAAAACCAAGGCUGAGGCGUGAUGACGAGGCACUACGGUGCUGAAGCAACAAAU